UUUUUUUAAAUAAUUAUGAUUUCUACUAUAUUUUAUUUUUUAAUAAUGCAUGUUUAUGUUAUAGUAUGUCAAAAUUAAUCUUUAAAUUUCUUAAAAAAAUAUUAAAUCUUUUGUAAUAUUAAAUUUUUUUUUAAAAAUAAAUAAUUAAAUCCAUUUUUUGAAAUUAAAACAAAUCAACUCAAUGUCAAGCUAGCUGUUGAGAGACAAAU
Molecule: long non-coding RNA, 209 nt
Filed under: Lathyrus oleraceus (garden pea)
Lineage: Eukaryota; Viridiplantae; Streptophyta; Magnoliopsida; Fabales; Fabaceae
Description: Pisum sativum (pea) long non-coding RNA (PSAT_LNC020052)
Source: RNAcentral